This 468-nucleotide ribosomal RNA is filed under the name uncultured bacterium. RNAcentral describes it as "partial 16S ribosomal RNA". It matches the Rfam family "Bacterial small subunit ribosomal RNA", at positions 28 to 507 of the family's 1533-position model. The record is from RNAcentral.
GACGAACGCUGGCGGCGUGCUUAACACAUGCAAGUCGAACGGAAAGGCCCUGCUUUUGUGGGGUGCUCGAGUGGCGAACGGGUGAGUAACACGUGAGUAACCUGCCCUUGACUUUGGGAUAACUUCAGGAAACUGGGGCUAAUACCGGAUAGGAGCUCCUGCUGCAUGGUGGGGGUUGGAAAGUUUCGGCGGUUGGGGAUGGACUCGCGGCUUAUCAGCUUGUUGGUGGGGUAGUGGCAUACCAAGGCUUUGACGGGUAGCCGGCCUGAGAGGGUGACCGGCCACAUUGGGACUGAGAUACGGCCCAGACUCCUACGGGAGGCAUCAGUGGGGAAUAGUGCACAAUGGGCGGAAGCCUGAUGCAGCAACGCCGCGUGCGGGAUGACGGCCUUCGGGUUGUAAACCGCUUUCGCCUGUGACGAAGCGUGAGUGACGGUAAUGGGUAAAGAAGCACCGGCUAACUACGUG